UACGAAGGCAGCAGUGGGGAAUAUUGCACAAUGGGCGCAAGCCUGAUGCAGCCAUGCCGCGUGUAUGAAAAAGGCCUUCGGGUUGUAAAGUACUUUCAGUCGUGAGGAAGGUGUUAAGGUUAAUAACCUUAGCAAUUGACGUUAGCGACAGAAGAAGCACCGGCUAACUCCGUGCCAGCAGCCGCGGUAAUACGGAGGGUGCGAGCGUUAAUCGGAAUUACUGGGCGUAAAGGGCACGCAGGCGGUUAAUUAAGUUGGAUGUGAAAUCCCCGGGCUUAACCUGGGAAUGGCAUUCAAGACUGGUUAGCUAGAGUCUUGUAGAGGGGGGUAGAAUUCCAUGUGUAGCGGUGAAAUGCGUAGAGAUGUGGAGGAAUACCGGUGGCGAAGGCGGCCCCUGGACAAAGACUGACGCUCAUGUGCGAAAGCGUGGGGAGCAAACAGGGAUUAGAUACC
Molecule: ribosomal RNA, 453 nt
Filed under: uncultured bacterium
Lineage: Bacteria
Description: bacterial SSU rRNA
Rfam family: Bacterial small subunit ribosomal RNA
Source: RNAcentral